This 253-nucleotide ribosomal RNA is filed under the name uncultured bacterium. Its description in RNAcentral is "partial 16S ribosomal RNA". It matches the Rfam family "Bacterial small subunit ribosomal RNA", at positions 524 to 776 of the family's 1533-position model. The record is from RNAcentral.
UACGUAGGGGGCAAGCGUUGUCCGGAAUUAUUGGGCGUAAAGAGCGUGUAGGCGGUCCGGUAAGUCGGCUGUGAAAACCUGCAGCUUAACUGUGGGCGUGCGGGCGAUACGGGCAGACUGGAGUACUGCAGGGGAGACUGGAAUUCCUGGUGUAGCGGUGGAAUGCGCAGAUAUCAGGAGGAACACCGGUGGCGAAGGCGGGUCUCUGGGCAGUAACUGACGCUGAGGAGCGAAAGCGUGGGGAGCGAACAGG